AGUGAACGCUGGCGGUAGGCCUAACACAUGCAAGUCGAACGGCAGCACAGUAAGAGCUUGCUCUUACGGGUGGCGAGUGGCGGACGGGUGAGGAAUACAUCGGAAUCUACUUUUUCGUGGGGGAUAACGUAGGGAAACUUACGCUAAUACCGCAUACGACCUACGGGUGAAAGCAGGGGAUCUUCGGACCUUGCGCGAUUGAAUGAGCCGAUGUCGGAUUAGCUAGUUGGCGGGGUAAAGGCCCACCAAGGCGACGAUCCGUCGCUGGUCUGAGAGGAUGAGGUGCCAGACUGGAACGGAUACACGGCCCAGACGCCUACGAGAGGCAGCAGUUAGGAAUACGGGACGAAGGGCGCAAGAAUGAUGGACCCAGGCCGCGAGCGUGAAGCAGGACUUCGGUGUGUAAGGCGAUGGUGUUCGGAAAGAAAAGCGGUUGGAUAAUAGCACAAGGUUCUGACGGUACCCAAAGAAGAAGCAACGGCUAAAUACGUG
Molecule: ribosomal RNA, 492 nt
Filed under: uncultured bacterium
Lineage: Bacteria
Description: partial 16S ribosomal RNA
Rfam family: Bacterial small subunit ribosomal RNA
Source: RNAcentral